GAUGAACGCUGGCGGCGUGCCUAACACAUGCAAGUCGAACGAACAGACCAGGAGCUUUGUCGUCUGACGUUAGCGGGCGACGGGAGAGUAACACGUGGUUAACCUACCUAUAAGACUGGGAUAAUUUCGGGAAACCAGAGCUAAUACCGAAUAAUAUAUUGAACCUCAUGGUUCAAUAGUUGAAGAAGGUUUUUGGGACACUUAUAGAUGGAUCAGGGCCUCAUUAGUUUGUUGGUAAGGUAACGGAUUACCAAGGCUACGAUGCGUAGACGCCCUGAGAGGGUGAUCCGCCAGACGGGAACUGAGACUCGGCACAGACUCCUACGGUAGGCAGCAGUCGGGAAUCUUCCGCAAGGGGCGAGAGCCUGAUGUAGCAACGCCGGCUGAGUGCUGAUGCUCUUCGGCUCGUAAAGCUCUGUUGUUCGGAAAGAACAAAUGCUUAAGUACCUAUGAUGGUAUUGACGGUACCGAGACAAUAAGCUCCGGCUAACUACGUG
This 497-nucleotide ribosomal RNA is filed under the name uncultured bacterium. RNAcentral describes it as "partial 16S ribosomal RNA". It matches the Rfam family "Bacterial small subunit ribosomal RNA", at positions 28 to 507 of the family's 1533-position model. The record is from RNAcentral.